This 321-nucleotide ribosomal RNA is filed under the name Triticum aestivum (bread wheat). RNAcentral's name for it is "partial small subunit ribosomal RNA". The record is from RNAcentral. Lineage: Eukaryota; Viridiplantae; Streptophyta; Magnoliopsida; Poales; Poaceae.
AUGGUGUUCGGCCGGGGCAAGCCGUCCUCGUCCACGCCCUCCACGGCGGCCGCCACCUCGUCGGCUGCCGCGGCGGCGUGCUCCGACCUCCGGGCGGCGUACCACGAGUGCUUCAACCGGUGGUACGCCGACAAGUUCGCCAAGGGCCAGUGGAACAAGGACGACUGCGCCGCCGACUGGCACAAGUACCGCGCCUGCCUCGAGGAACAUCUCGAAGACAAGCAUCUCAGGCAAAUCCUACUGGAGUCGGAAACAUCUCCCUCUUAUGCCCAGCUUGAUCCCGAUUCUUCGUCACGACAAGGUGCCACCCCAUCAAAAUGA